CUGGGGAAGGUCAUGUCUCUCCUUUAAAGUAGUUGGACUAGGUUGUGAAGAGCUCCUUGCUUUGUGAUAUUUUCACAUGUUAAAGAUCUACCUUUAUUUGGGUCUUCCUUUGGGAAGGAAUCCAACUGCUUGUGGAUUCUGGGAUCCAGUGAUUAAGAGAAUCUCUAGGAGAUUAGACGGGUGGCAAAAAGCUUACUUAUCUUUCGGCGGUAGGAUAACUCUCCUACACUCAUGUCUAUCCCAUAUCCCUAGCUACUUUCUUUCUCUGUUUAAGAUUCCUGCUUCAGUGGCUGCAAAAGUUGAGAGGAUGCAAAGGAACUUUCUUUGGUCAGGGGUUGGGGAAGGCAAAAGAGACCAUCUUGUUAGUUGGGAUGCUGUGUGUAAGUCGAGGGUAAAAGGGGGUUUGGGGAUUGGGAAGAUUCCUUUAAGGAAUCGUGCUCUUUUAGGGAAAUGGUUGUGGAGGUAUCCUAGGGAGAGCACAACUCUAUGACAUCAAGUCAUUCUUAGCAUAUACAGGACACACUCAAAUGGUUGGGAUGCCAACACUUUAGUCAGGUGGUCACAUCGUUGUCCUUGGAAGGCCAUUGCACAAGUCUUUCAGGAUUUUUCCAAGUAUACUCGGUUGGUCGUAGGAAAUGGGGAAAGAAUUCGCUUUUGGGAAGAUUUGUGGUGGGGGGACCAAAUCUUCAAAGACCAAUAUCCAAGACUAUUUAGAGUAGUAAUGGAUAAAAGUGUUCCCAUAUAUUCAAUUCUUGGUUUGGCUCGCCCUUUCUCAUGGAACUUUAAUUUCUGUCGUGAUCUAACCGAUUAUGAGAUAGAAGAUCUAGAACACCUCAUGCGCUCUAUUGAUUGUAUGAAUUUAUCCACCUCUGCUUCAGAUGCGAGAUCUUGGUCCUUAUUGUCUUCAGGACUGUUUACAGUCAAGUCCUUCUUUACAGCCUUGUCCCAAACGCCUGAUUCAUCUCCUUUUUUCCCUUCUAAGUUUGUAUGGAAAUCUCAAGUUUCCUUCAAAGUUAAGACCUUUGUUUGGCUUGUGGCACACAAGAAGGUAAAUACCAAUGACUUGCUACAAUUGAGGAGACCCCACAAAGCUCUUAGCCCUGACAUUUGUAAGUUGUGUAUGGGGCAAGGAGAAUCAGUAGAUCAUCUAUUCCUUCAUUGUUCUGUGACGUUGGGGUUGUGGCACAGACUAUUUCAGCUAGCCAAGAUGGAUUGGGUCCCUCCGAGAAACAUUUCAGACAUGAUGUUCAUCAAUUAUAAAGGUUUUGACAAGUCCAAGAGAGGGUUGGUUUUGUGGCAAAAUGCAUGCAUAACUUUAAUUUGGGUUGUGUAGUGGGAAAGAAAUGCUAGGAUAUUUGAGGACAAAGCUAGGAAUUCAGAGAAUCUUUGGGACUCCAUUCAUUUCAUCACUUCGUUUUGGGCUUUUUGCUCAGCAGGUUUUAAGGGCAUUCCCCUUAACGUUUUACAACUAGAUUGGCUAGCAGUGUGUAGUUCCAAUGAGACGGUGUAGUGUCAUGUUAUUUUCUUGUGUUGUUUAGUUUUAAUUCUGGCGGGAGGACUUCUCAUCCUCCUUAUGUACUAUUUUAUCUUAUCAAUAUAUUCAUGCGUGGUUUCCUAUCAAAAAAAAUAAAAAAAAAGAUCUACCUCACUGUUAUGUAUUUCCUCAGCAUUUAGACUGGCUUUAGCACUUCUCCCUCAAGUUGUAGUGUAUAUAAUUAAUAUAGUUAUCACUUUUGUCAUGUAAAAGUAGACCAUGC
This 1757-nucleotide long non-coding RNA is filed under the name Vitis vinifera (wine grape). RNAcentral's name for it is "long non-coding RNA (VVIN_LNC003198)". The record is from RNAcentral. Lineage: Eukaryota; Viridiplantae; Streptophyta; Magnoliopsida; Vitales; Vitaceae.